Non-coding RNA from Yarrowia lipolytica, 91 nucleotides. NCBI's taxonomy places the organism in Eukaryota, Fungi, Ascomycota, Dipodascomycetes, Dipodascales. The record is from Rfam.
GACUUCGUGGCCAAGAUGGUUAAGGCGUACGACUGUUAGGAUUAGCGACUCCGAAAUCGUAAGAUCGAGAGUUCGACCCUCUCCGAGGUCG